CUUAAAUGCUCCCUCUGACUUCCUGGGUUCAUAUAUCAUGGUGUCCUGGUGCAGCUUCUCCAUGAUUCCAGUCUCCAGAAGCUUCUGCAAGCUGGACAGAAUUAUAACAAUGCUGUGUCAGGAUUCGUCUGUGGGAGUGUAAGGAAAGAAUCCCGUUGGAUUUCAGGUUCAGAUUGAAGUCACUUGGCUCUUAACAUUGGAGGAAGAUAAGUACCGUUUAUUUAGAUUUUUCAGUUAGUAUUGUCCAGCUCAAAAGGUUUAAUAUUCCAGCAUUUUAAAUGUUGUCACGUGAUAGAGUGACCAUAGACGGAUUUGGAUUAGUAAAUGGAUUUAUUGAACAUUUA
Long non-coding RNA from Cryptotermes secundus, 344 nucleotides. RefSeq lists it as uncharacterized. The record is from RefSeq and is a predicted model, not a curated record. The transcript is spliced from 2 exons. NCBI's taxonomy places the organism in Eukaryota, Metazoa, Arthropoda, Insecta, Blattodea, Kalotermitidae.